RNAcentral lists this ribosomal RNA (497 nucleotides) under uncultured bacterium. RNAcentral describes it as "partial 16S ribosomal RNA". It matches the Rfam family "Bacterial small subunit ribosomal RNA", at positions 28 to 507 of the family's 1533-position model. The record is from RNAcentral.
GAUGAACGCUGGCGGCGUGCCUAAUACAUGCAAGUCGAGCGAAGAGACUAGUAGCUUGCUCCUCUUGCGUUAGGGGCGAGUGGGUGGUGAACACGUUGAUCACCUCCCUAGGAUACUUGGAUAGCUUCGGGAAACCUGAGCGAAGACCGGAUAAUAUAUUGAACCGCAUGGUUCAAUAGUGAAAGGGGGGGUUACGGGCACUUGUCGUUUGAUCCGCGCGGCUUUGGCUAGUUGUUAAGGGAAUGGCUUACCAAGGCAACGAUGGGUAGCCGACGGGGGCGGCGGAUAGGCGACCCGGGAACUGAGCCACGGUCCAGACUCCUACGGGAGGCACCAGUCGGGAAUCUUAGGCAAUGGGCGAAAGCAUGACGCAGCAAGGCCGAGUGAGUGAUGACGGUCCUCGGAUCGUAAAACCCUGUUAUUAGGGAAGAACAACUGUCUAAGUAAAUAUGCCCGUAUUGACGGUACCUACUCAGAAAGCACCGGCUAACUACGUG